Molecule: ribosomal RNA, 277 nt
Filed under: Mycena citrinomarginata
Lineage: Eukaryota; Fungi; Basidiomycota; Agaricomycetes; Agaricales; Mycenaceae
Description: partial large subunit ribosomal RNA
Rfam family: Eukaryotic large subunit ribosomal RNA
Source: RNAcentral
CGUGAAAUUGUUGAAAGGGAAACGCUUGAAGUCAGUCGCGCCGUUCAGGACUCAGCCUGGCUUUGCUUGGUGUGCUUCCUGUUUGGUGGGUCAGCAUCAAUUUUGGUCGGUGGAUAAAGGCUUAGAGAAUGUGGCAUCUUCGGGUGUGUUAUAGCUCUGGGUCGCAUUCAUCGGCUGGGAUUGAGGAACUCAGCACGCCGCAAGGCCGGGGACUUGUCCCACGUACGUGCUUAGGAUGCUGGCAUAAUGGCUUUAAUCGACCCGUCUUGAAACACGG